This 679-nucleotide ribosomal RNA is filed under the name Scytonema sp. DC-A. RNAcentral's name for it is "bacterial SSU rRNA". It matches the Rfam family "Bacterial small subunit ribosomal RNA", at positions 8 to 733 of the family's 1533-position model. Lineage: Bacteria; Bacillati; Cyanobacteriota; Cyanophyceae; Nostocales; Scytonemataceae. The record is from RNAcentral.
AGAGUUUGAUCAUGGCUCAGGAUGAACGCUGGCGGUAUGCUUAACACAUGCAAGUCGAACGGACUCUUCGGAGUUAGUGGCGGACGGGUGAGUAACGCGUGAGAAUCUGGCUUCAGGUUCGGGACAACAGUUGGAAACGGCUGCUAAUACCGGAUGUGCCUUAUGGUGAAAGAUUUAUCACCUGAAGAUGAGCUCGCGUCUGAUUAGCUAGUAGGUGUGGUAAGAGCGCACCUAGGCGACGAUCAGUAGCUGGUCUGAGAGGAUGAUCAGCCACACUGGGACUGAGACACGGCCCAGACUCCUACGGGAGGCAGCAGUGGGGAAUUUUCCGCAAUGGGCGAAAGCCUGACGGAGCAAUACCGCGUGAGGGAGGAAGGCUCUUGGGUUGUAAACCUCUUUUCUCAGGGAAGAAUGAUGACGGUACCUGAGGAAUAAGCAUCGGCUAACUCCGUGCCAGCAGCCGCGGUAAUACGGAGGAUGCAAGCGUUAUCCGGAAUGAUUGGGCGUAAAGCGUCCGCAGGUGGCAAUGUAAGUCUGCUGUCAAAGCGUCUGGCUCAACCAGAUAAAGGCAGUGGAAACUACAUAGCUAGAGUAAGGUAGGGGUAGAGGGAAUUCCUGGUGUAGCGGUGAAAUGCGUAGAGAUCAGGAAGAACACCGGUGGCGAAAGCGCUCUGCUGGA